UGGGGAAUAUUGCACAAUGGGCGAAAGCCUGAUGCAGCAACGCCGCGUGCGGGAUGACGGCCUUCGGGUUGUAAACCGCUUUCAGCAGGGACGAAGGUUUUCUGACGGUACCUGCAGAAGAAGCACCGGCUAACUACGUGCCAGCAGCCGCGGUGAUACGUAGGGUGCGAGCGUUGUCCGGAAUUAUUGGGCGUAAAGAGCUUGUAGGCGGUCCGUUGCGUCGGAAGUGAAAACUCAGGGCUUAACCCUGAGCCUGCUUUCGAUACGGGCGGACUUGAGGGAUGUAGGGGAGAACGGAAUUCCUGGUGGAGCGGUGGAAUGCGCAGAUAUCAGGAGGAACACCAGUGGCGAAGGCGGUUCUCUGGACAUUUCCUGACGCUGAGAAGCGAAAGCGUGGGGAGCAAACAGGCUUAGAUACCCUGGUAGUCCACGCCGUAAACGGUGGGCACUAGGUGUGGGACCCAUUCCACGGGUUCCGUGCCGUAGCUAACGCAUUAAGUGCCCCGCCUGGGGAGUACGGCCGCAA
Molecule: ribosomal RNA, 526 nt
Filed under: uncultured bacterium
Lineage: Bacteria
Description: partial 16S ribosomal RNA
Rfam family: Bacterial small subunit ribosomal RNA
Source: RNAcentral